GGCUGGUUCAAGUGCAGUGAUGUUUACAACUCAUUGAUCACAACCAAUUAUGGAUUUGUUCCUUCUCCACUCCCACUGCUUCACUUGACUAGCCUUAA
RNAcentral lists this Y RNA (98 nucleotides) under Aotus nancymaae (Ma's night monkey). Its description in RNAcentral is "Y RNA (ENSANAG00000004915.1)". It matches the Rfam family "Y RNA". Rfam says of the family: Y RNAs are components of the Ro ribonucleoprotein particle (Ro RNP), in association with Ro60 and La proteins. The Y RNAs and Ro60 and La proteins are well conserved, but the function of the Ro RNP is not known. The record is from Rfam by way of RNAcentral. Lineage: Eukaryota; Metazoa; Chordata; Mammalia; Primates; Aotidae.